RNAcentral lists this ribosomal RNA (580 nucleotides) under uncultured Marinobacter sp. RNAcentral describes it as "bacterial SSU rRNA". It matches the Rfam family "Bacterial small subunit ribosomal RNA", at positions 924 to 1504 of the family's 1533-position model. Lineage: Bacteria; Pseudomonadati; Pseudomonadota; Gammaproteobacteria; Pseudomonadales; Marinobacteraceae. The record is from RNAcentral.
CACAAGCGGUGGAGCAUGUGGUUUAAUUCGACGCAACGCGAAGAACCUUACCUGGCCUUGACAUGCAGAGAACUUUCCAGAGAUGGAUUGGUGCCUUCGGGAACUCUGACACAGGUGCUGCAUGGCCGUCGUCAGCUCGUGUCGUGAGAUGUUGGGUUAAGUCCCGUAACGAGCGCAACCCCUAUCCCUAGUUGCUAGCAGUUCGGCUGAGAACUCUAGGGAGACUGCCGGUGACAAACCGGAGGAAGGUGGGGAUGACGUCAGGUCAUCAUGGCCCUUACGGCCAGGGCUACACACGUGCUACAAUGGCGCGCACAGAGGGCUGCAAACCCGCGAGGGGGAGCUAAUCUCACAAAACGCGUCGUAGUCCGGAUCGGAGUCUGCAACUCGACUCCGUGAAGUCGGAAUCGCUAGUAAUCGUGAAUCAGAAUGUCACGGUGAAUACGUUCCCGGGCCUUGUACACACCGCCCGUCACACCAUGGGAGUGGAUUGCACCAGAAGUGGUUAGUCUAACCUUCGGGAGGACGAUCACCACGGUGUGGUUCAUGACUGGGGUGAAGUCGUAACAAGGUAACCGUA